RNAcentral lists this long non-coding RNA (3366 nucleotides) under Mus musculus (house mouse). RNAcentral's name for it is "long non-coding RNA chr12:49377773-49381139". Lineage: Eukaryota; Metazoa; Chordata; Mammalia; Rodentia; Muridae. The record is from RNAcentral.
GGAUUGCACUUGGCAGGCGUGGACUACAAAGGAGCUCAGGGUGAGCGCGCUGGGAGGAGAGCAGAGGCAAGCAGACUAGCAAGUCUCUCCGCGAAGCUCCUUCUUCAAGAACCAGAGCCCAACAACCACUGCCGCCCCAAGAGGGUGGGCAGACAGGACCUUUGGCAAACACUGGUGCCACAGGUUUUGAUUUGGGUUGGGGGUGGGGUGGGGUGUGGGGAGGACCUAGAAGAGCCAGUACUAGAGAGCGAAGAGGCAGGUUGGUAUGAGUUGCGCACAUUAGUUUGUCCUGGUAGUUUUGUGUUUGUUUGUUUGGAUUUCUGUUUGUUUUGUUUGUUUUGUUUUGUUUGGGGAGGUUAUUUUUUUUUAUAAGAAAGCAGACAUUUUAUUAGCACACAGCUUGCCUUCUCUCCUGGACUAAAGGAGGCUUUGGGACUCAAGCAUGCAGUUUUCCCAAUCCUUAUUCCUCUACAGACUUGCAAUGAGCAGAAGUCAUUCUCUGUGUUAUAUUUAUUCAUCUAACGUACAACCCUAUGAAUUCCGCAUGCAUUUAGCUGUUGAGAGGCGACCGCUUCUGAACUGAGUAUCUAAUAGUUGCAACUGAGUCAACCUUUUUGUUCUUCCAGUUUUCUCUCACAAUGGGAGUUUUGGGGAUCUUCUGGAAAGUUGCUUCCGAACAUAAGAGCUUUGAUGUUUGUGCUCUCAGGGAAGUCUAUACUUUUUCCUCAAAGAAGACAAUUCCAGCUCUUGCUUAACAUCUCACUGAUGCUCAGAAAAACUAAGACUAGUAAUGACAUAGUUAGGGCCUCUGUGUCAUAGGAGUUGUGUGCUUUUUCAGCCUGCAAGCUUUUGUUUCACAGUGAGUGUGUGUGUGUGUUUAUGAAAUAAUUUUCUUUCUUUUCCUUUCAAGAUGCACUGAUGAACAAACCAGAAAAGACAGCAUAGUCAUACAUGCUGGAUUUUGUAAGUCUCUUUCCUUCCUUUUCAGAAAGACUGGGACGGGGUGGGGAGAACUAAGAAGCCAAGCCUUGUCUUCAAUUUCCAGUUCUGGGACCACACUUCCACUCUCUCUUUUCUCUUCAAUGUUCCUUGUCUUCUUGGGAAAGUGGACUGCAUUGAUUCCUUGGGCAACUAGGGGAAAUUAUAGACACUGGCCUUUCAGGACUGGCUUGCCUAUCUGGUGUGUGAGAGAAUUUCUCCCAAUUGGUUCUGGUCUACAACUGGAGUGUCUUACUUACCAGGGGCUCAACUUCUUAAACUAUCAACUCCCAGUAGUCCUGUAGCUACUAGCAAGUAACAGAAAACACAUUAAAGGGCAGCAGGCCUUCCUACUCAUCAAAAAUGCUCAGAGUAUUCUACAGAGACUGUGUUCAGAGCAACUCAAUGGUUCUUGGCUCUAGGGUGAUGCCAUUAUGUGUGAGUCUCUCUAGGGCUGUUGGUACCCGGGAGUUUUUGGGUGCUAGUGGAUCUAGCUUUGCUACACAUAGGACACAUGGCCAUAUCAAAGAGAUGUGCCCAGAGAAAUCAAUGAGUUUCCAUGAAGACCACUUCCCCCCUUUUCUCCCUCCUCCUUUUAACUGCCUGGCUUCUGAAGUGGCUCCCUAGCUUAUAGAAGUUAAACAUUUCAACUCUCAAAUAUGAGGCUCUCCCUUAGAUUUUUUUUUCCUCAAGGUUCUCAAGCAAAAUUGCCAGUGCCACAAUGUUAUGAUGGAAGGAUGCUGAAAUGACAGGCCUAGUAGACGCUUGUCUUAAUCAUCGGCUUCUUAAUUUAGUUUUAGAGCUCUAUGUGUGUGUGUGUAUACCCACUCCAUGCACAUAUGCGCGCCCUCGAUGACGUUAGGGGUGCGUGCAUGAGCCUGCUGAGAGCAGCCUCUGACAACCUGCAGCUCCCUAAUGAGUGACGAGGCAGGGCUGCCUAGGAAAAGUCACACUUCCCUGGUGUGAAGACCUCUUACUGGGAAGUUUAGUUCACUACUGUUCUCGCAAACCUAAUCGUAUAACCUGUAACCAAAACCCACAGAACAAGGAUACAACACGCUAAAGAGUAACUUCUAAUCACUAAAUGUUAGCACCAUUACCUGCUGUUAGGAAGAGAUUAUAGACAAGUUGGCUCUAGGGAAGGCAGACUUCAUUUGUUACAGAACCACUGAAAUACCUGGAUGUCUCAGCAUGGGAUCUACUGACUCCCACAUGUCAAGAGGUCACAAACCGUCCUGUGCAUUUGUAAGAAGAGAACUUUAGCUUGAGUUUGUCUCUGCUCCCAGGGGAAAGAUGGAAGUUGAUAAAUAUGGCCCACCCUUGUUACUAGAAAGUAAAGAUGGCCCAAAACAAAACAAAACAAUGUACCCAAGAAAGAAAAUGCAACAUCCAUCCACCCUCAAAGAUGGAAUAAAAAUAAGCUGCCCCCUGCUCGAAUGAAGUGCGCUGUGUAAGCUUGGAGAUUAAUUUUAAAAUUGACAAGGAAUAAUCUACACUUCUCCAGCAACUCUUCUGCUGAAAUUGCUCGCUCUACAAUUCUUGUCCUUUUUUUUUUUUGAGUGAGUAGGUAGUGGAUGAGAGCUGAGGUCUACGAGGUCACCACUAUGUAAACUAACAGAUCACAUUUACUCUGGUGUGCUCUUCUAUUCAUUACUUUCCUAAGACUACACAUUUGCAAAUUUAUAUGUGUGAGGUUAAAUUGAUUAGGAGGGAAAAUUAUACUGGUGGGGGGAUUUGUUUCCGGUCUGAGACCACUGGCUGCCUGCCCUCUGUCUUCUGAAGGUAAUCACAGCGACUAGGAGGCUGAAAACAGGGCUUUAUGUGCAGAGGGAAGAGGCCCUCGGUGGACGUGGGCAGGACUUCAAAUCCAAUUUGCACCCAAAUUGGUUGGUAGGAUAUACAAAGCCUCAUCCAGAGACUUUCAACUUCACAAUACUUUGUCCAGGAACUCCUUCCCCCUCUGCUUCAGCUAGCAGCAGAUCUAAAAAGAAACCAUUGCUUACACAAAUAUAAGCCUCUGAGUAAACAGUGCAUGUUUUGUUGAACAAGCCUGAUAUACAUAUGUGUGUGCAUUCUGAUAUAUAGCCCCAUCUCACCAUAAAGAACAAGUAAAAUUAUUUAAAGGGAUUCAAACUUGCUUUUUCGGGAAUUGCAAAUAACCUUUGCAUCAGGAAACUAGUUUUAAUAUUAUUUCAAACUAUAUGCUAUGUUUUUACGAUCAAUCAUCCUGCUUUGAGAGACUCGCAUUCACGUAACCUUAAAAUAACACAGCACACCCUUAAUCUGCAUGCAAAACAAUUUUCAAGCCGCCAUAAGCCUUGACAUAUAAAAUCAGAGUAUUGCAGCUCUCACUGUACAAAACCCAGUUUUUGCUCCUUGAAAGUAAAC